RNAcentral lists this ribosomal RNA (524 nucleotides) under uncultured bacterium. Its description in RNAcentral is "bacterial LSU rRNA". It matches the Rfam family "Bacterial large subunit ribosomal RNA", at positions 1574 to 2081 of the family's 2925-position model. The record is from RNAcentral.
CCGUUUAUGGUGAAGUGGGUGAUCCUAUGCUGUCGAGAAAAACCUCUAGCGAGCUAUGCGCCGCCCGUACCCAAACCGACUCAGGUGAUCAGGUAGAGAAUACCAAGGCGAUCGAGCGAACCAUGGUUAAGGAACUCGGCAAAAUACCCCCGUAACUUCGGGAGAAGGGGGACCCAUCUCGUGAACCACCUUGCGUGGGGAAGCGGGUGUGGGUCGCAGAGACCAGGCCCAAGCGACUGUUUACUAAAAACACAGGUCCGUGCGAAGUUGUAAGACGAUGUAUACGGACUGACUCCUGCCCGGUGCUGGAAGGUUAAGAGGACCGGUUAGACCCUUCGGGGUCGAAGCUGAGAAUUUAAGCCCCAGUAAACGGCGGUGGUAACUAUAACCAUCCUAAGGUAGCGAAAUUCCUUGUCGGGUAAGUUCCGACCUGCACGAAUGGAGUAACGACUUGGGCGCUGUCUCAACCAUGGACUCGGCGAAAUUGCACUACGAGUAAAGAUGCUCGUUACGCGCGGCAGGAC